Molecule: long non-coding RNA, 3225 nt
Organism: Trachemys scripta elegans
Lineage: Eukaryota; Metazoa; Chordata; Testudines; Emydidae
Exons: 2
Source: RefSeq, a predicted model, not a curated record
GGCACAAGGUCUCUGAUGGUCACUGACGCAGAGCUCAGAUGUUUUUGGUGCAAAUCCAGAGAUGUAUUUACUUACUAGAAUGUACAGAACACAGGGAAGCAGUGCCAACAGGACACAGCACAGAGGAAAGCAAAGAGAAGAAUACCACGUAAUACAAUCUGUACAGCUGGACUGCCAGAGUCUGCAGACAUGUCGACAUUUCAGGGGUAUCGGUAUCAAAGGCAGCUGUCAGAUCUACAGAAACAACAUGGAUAUUUGGUCUUCAUCCAUCAUCAAGAGAAGACUGACAACUGAAAUGAGAGCAACUUUCAACCACAGCAUCAAAUCCACCAUCUCUGGGCCCAGACCCUUAGAUCCCUUCCUCUUCCAAAAAAAUUAUUUGUGCAGCUCCUUCUCCAAAUAAGGUACAUGACCACUAGGGCUGACUUGGAGUCUGUUCCAAAUUCAAGUCACCCACGAAUCACGAAUCAAGGAAAUUAAAUACAAAUGCUCAAACAGUUAAAGUGCUUUAAGAAACAAAACUGUAAGUGGCUGUUCUUCCAACCACUUUCCAUGUGCAGUUCUAAUUUCCAACUCCUACUUCAGAGAAGUGAGAGCUAGCAGGGUUACUUGGCUUGUAAAUAUCCUGCUAACAUUUUAAACAGCAUCCAUAACACCCACCUUGCUACACAAUUGAAUUUCAAAGCCCUGGCAAUUUACAUGUUUACCAGAUGAUUUGGUUUUCCACCUGCCUGAGUCACUUGGCUUUUGAGAACAGGUGACGGAAUGAACUCUCCACCUUGUUCAAACAAGCUCAACCAAAACAGCGCAACUCAAUAGAUCUGCAGGAAUGUCCAGGCUCUGCCCAGUUCCCCCAGGCACUCGGUGUAACAGCUACAAUUAACACAGGGACUGCCCAAACCACCAGCAGGUGUUUUCUCCCAGAUAGGGAUUUAUAGCUGGAAGUACAGGCUUAUUCAGGGUAUUAAAACUAUGCUCAGUAGAUGUCUCACAGACUAGUUCUGCUUGGCAGAGGGGAACAGCCUGCAUCAGCAAGACCAACAGAGGCUUGGUCUGCAGGAUAAUAUGAACAUAUGGACACACUGUUAAGCAUUUGAUGCUCUAAACAAGGAACAAUUCUGGAAGCUGUUCAUGGACCAUAGCAAAGAGGAGGAUUCCAGGGGCACUGAGGUCAGUUAGGCCUACAACAGUAAAAAGGGCAGAGUCUAUUCUUCAGCUCCCCUUCUGAAGAGAACUAAUGCCUAGAGCUGUGGUUCCCAAAGCAUGGCCCCCCAGUCACAUGAUGCUGGCUGGCUUUUCCUAUUUCUAGCGACCAAACUGCAUGAAAAGCAGCUAAAAAUACAGUAAGUAUUUCCUAGUGUUACCUUUCCAUGGCAGCCAUUGCUGUAAUUGCCACAUUUCUUCAGUCAGCAGAGGGGAGGCAGGGAGCAGGAUCAUGAAUUAGGAGGAAUGUCACUACAAGGAAUGAGAGACCCCUAGACCUGAAGAAUAAAGUCCAUGAGCCCUACGGGGUCCCUCAGGGAAGGAGAGGAAAAUCACAUUGUGUAUGCACCUCAAGUUACCCCAAAAAUGAUCCUGCCCAUGAACAUUCUCAAAGACCCUGUUCAACAUGUCCUACAAUAACCAGGAUACAUAAUUUCCUCUGUAUUAUGGCCAAGGAGAAGAGGUCACUGAUUUCCAGGACAGCUUUGGCUGUGCUCAUUCAACCACAGAACGGACUCAAGAAAGGAGUCAAACUACCCUGAUGCAAGUCCCAGUCCCAAAUGAGGUGGCUUCUCAUUAGUGCCUAUGCUGUAAAACUCCCCACAUCCCCAAAGCUGCAUGGACAUCCCAGAACGUGAUCUAGUGGUUAGGGGACAAGGAAUCACAACUGCUAGGUUCCUUGAUUGGCUCUGCCACUGACUCACUGUGUGACCUUGGGAAAAAUCAUCAACUCUCUGGGCCUUCAUUUCCCUAUCUACAAGAUGGAGCCAUCGCAAUGUUUGCAGGGAUGGAGAGUGAGAGCUGGGUGUGUUUUAGAGGCAGGCUGGCUGGCUUCAAGCAUUCCCCUACAAAGCCAUCCCGUAACGAGGCUGAGCGCCAGCCAACAUGCCAAUUCAGUUAUUCAGACAGAGGAAUUUCCCCAUUUGCAGAAUCUGCUCUCAACUGUUGUGUUUCUCCUCUCCAGGCGUUCUCCAGCACAGGACUAUUUUAACGGCUCAUUCUGUCCAGUCACAGAGCAAUUCCAACAGCCUGCUGGCAAGAGGAUGACUUUCAGUUAUCUGAUCCAGUCUGACAGAUGAGUUAUUAGUGCAUGCACCAAACCUCAAUGAGUGCAUGCUGCUCCCUCCUCCCUUUGCUAGGUCACUAACCAGAAGGCAGGGAUAAUAAAAAGGUAAGUGAGAUUAGCACAAGGGGAGAAGGAAGGGGGAGAAAGAGCUCACAGGCACCAAACACCCAAGCUACACUACAUCUCAUUCAUCAGUUCAACAUAAAUACAUGGUCUACUUAGAAAUUCAAACAUCUAAAGAGAAGUGGGGGCCAAAAUAAUCAAGGAGCUGUAAUCAGGGAGAGUGUAAAAUUAAAUUCACUUAGCUUAGUAAUACAGUGACUCUAUAUAGCUACCCUUGCCUAGAAGGGUUAAUAGCUGUUUGCAAUUCCAUAGCAGAUAACGUAGCAAUCAAUGGUGUAGAACAUGGAAAAAAGGAAAUGGACCUGUUGGCACAUUUCUAGCAAGUGAAGAGUGAGUAGAGAGAGUCUGGAAGGUCCCAGGCACUUCUGAAUCACUUAGCCCACUGGUACUCCGACCUCAGUGGUUCUGGAGCCAAAUUAGGGAUCAGGUUUACCAAAAAGAGCCACAGCAGCGUAAAUUCACUGUUUAAUGGACUAUAGUGCUACAGAUUCAAACACAGUGUUUUCAUAUCAUGUGCUGCAAAGAGCCGCAGGAGAUGCAUCAAAGAGCCACUUGCCGCUCAAGAGUCUCAGUCUGAGUAUCACUGACUUAGCCCUUUAAUUCUCCCCCAACUUAUUUUUGAUCCUUUUAGACCUACUGGCAAAAGCAAUAUUGUCCAUGGAUGACAAACUUCUGAGACCUACAUAUUUCAGAGUGAUGGAUCAAAGGCUAAGGCCCAAAAUUGACUUCCUUUAAAAUAGCUACAACCGUCUGAGGAGCAUGCUAGAUUUUAAAAUUCACCAUUUCAGUCAUGAGACGCUGAAGUAAAUAAAAGCCGUUAUUUCUAUAGGCCC